RNAcentral lists this ribosomal RNA (481 nucleotides) under uncultured bacterium. RNAcentral describes it as "partial 16S ribosomal RNA". It matches the Rfam family "Bacterial small subunit ribosomal RNA", at positions 28 to 507 of the family's 1533-position model. The record is from RNAcentral.
GACGAACGCUGGCGGCGUGCUUAACACAUGCAAGUCGAACGCUGAAGCUCAGCUUGCUGGGUGGCUGAGUGGCGAACGGGUGAGUAACACGUGAGUAACCUGCCCCCUUCUUUGGGAUAACGCCCGGAAACGGGUGCUAAUACUGGAUAUUCACUGAUCUUCGCAUGGGGGUUGGUGGAAAGGUUUUUUCUGGUGGGGGAUGGGCUCGCGGCCUGUCAGCUGGUGGGGGGGGUGAGGGCCUCCCAAGGCUUGGACGGGUGGCCGGCCUGGGAGGGGGCCCGGGCACAGGGGGACUGGGAUGCGGCCCAGAGUACGACGGGGGGCAGCAGUGGGGAAUAUGGCACGAUGGGCGAAAGCCUGAUGCGGCGACGCCGCGUGAGGGAUGGAGGCCUUCGGGUUGUAAACCUCUUUCGCUCAUGGUCAAGCCGCAACAGUGGUUGUGGUGAGGGUAGUGGGUAAAGAAGCGCCGGCUAACUACGUG